The sequence is a transfer RNA, 73 nucleotides long. It matches the Rfam family "tRNA". Rfam says of the family: Transfer RNA (tRNA) molecules are approximately 80 nucleotides in length. Their secondary structure includes four short double-helical elements and three loops (D, anti-codon, and T loops). The record is from Rfam.
UCUCGAAUCGUCCAACGGUUUAAGAUACCCGCCUGUCACGCGGGAGACCGGGGUUCGACUCCCCGUUCGAGAG